This is a long non-coding RNA of Nerophis ophidion (straightnose pipefish), 941 nucleotides long. RefSeq lists it as uncharacterized. Lineage: Eukaryota; Metazoa; Chordata; Actinopteri; Syngnathiformes; Syngnathidae. The record is from RefSeq and is a predicted model, not a curated record. The transcript has 4 exons.
ACCAUACUAAGUAGUAUGUGCGCUGUUGUCUAUGUUAUGUAGACUUAAAACUCUGAAACGUUUUUUUUUUUUUAUUGGUGAAAUUUUUACUGGGGCACUGCAGAUCAACACUGGGGCACGUGCCCCAGUGAAAUCUGUCUGGCAACGCCACUGGUCGGGGAUACAUAAUAUUUAUAAUGAUUGACAUCGCUAAUAACACGGAAGUGCUGGCGCAGUCUGAACAAGCCACGCAGCUCCCGCGGGAGGGCAUGCCGAAUAUUUCAUAAUUUCGCAAAAAAAUUACCUUUUUCUGGAUUAGCUGCUGGUCGGGGGAGACGAGCGUGCAUUGUUUGUGCUUUUGGUUGAGGCAGAGGACGCAGACGAGGCGGCCAUGUUGCGGGCAGUAGAGCUCCACGGGCUUGUUGUGCUCCAUGCAGAUGCGCUCCAUCAGAUCGCCGGCGGGCUCCGUCAGCUGGUGGACGUGGAACACCGGGUUGUCCAGGUGCGGCCGCAGGUGCUCCGCGCAGAAAGACGCCAUGCAGGAGAGAACACACCGAAGGUAAUACAAAUAACAGAAGAAAUGAACUAGGCCAGUGGUUCUCAAAUUGGGGUACUUGAAGGUAUGCCAAGGGACGUCUACAACAAAUCCGUGAAGGAUGUCCCAGAUUCGGAGCAAAUGGCAGAACAAAGGUUACUCAAAUAGCGAAAGGGGACGUGGUCUGCGGGCCUGCAGCGAAGCAGGGUGUGCCAGGACCGGCCUCGAAAUCAGCGACAGGUGCGUAGACGGCCCACCUGGGCCUUGUUAUCUAAUCACCUGUCGCUCUGUUAUAAGCAGCAGCCAGGAGGAGAGACGGGGUUGGGGCUGGAGCCAGAGCGCGAGCGAGAACGAAAGAGAAAAAGACAACUGCUGGAAAUCAACUGAGAGACUUACUGAAAAAUAAAACAAUAUUGUAACCCUGAAA